CAGGCCCUCCCUCGCCGGCGGAAGGAGGCGCCGGCGAGCCUCGCCUCGUCCUGCCCGGCCCGCGGCACGAUGGCGAGCCCCGGCGGGCGGUGGGCCUCCCUGCCGGAGCUGCGGGGGGUGUUGCUGCCACCGCGGCGGCGGGCCGAGGCCGAGGAGGGCGAAGAAGAGGAGGAGGAGGAGGAGGAGGAGGGCGAGGAGGAGCCGCGCUUCGCGGAGGCCGCGCUCCUGGCGGCCUCCGGCGACGGGCCGGAGCUGACCGCCGCGCUGCCCCCGCGCCGAGCCGUUAUUAUACAAGACGAAGAAUCUAAGAAGGAGUAUGAAGUAGUUGGACGUUUUCCGUUAGUGGGCCCUUGGUGGACAGUUAAUGUUAAAGUUAAAAAGAUGGGAUCAAAGUACUUUGUGCAGGGAUAUCCAUCGUAUUUUCUGCGGACUGAUAUAGAGGAAAACAACCAACAAGUCUUUUCACUCUUUCUUCAGGAAUGUGACGUUCCUGAUUUUUUUAAACACGAGUUUUUUACUUGGCUUCCUAGGCAGCCUAUGCUGAGUUUUAGAAAACUUGAGGAAAAACUGAAACAGUUCCAGGUUUCGUACUUGGAGAAAAGGAAGAAGCAACGAAAUACCAAGGAUUUUGAUAUCUUUCAGUAUGUUUUGAAAUCCUUUGCAGGAAAGGCAGUGUUGGUAGCUAUGAAUUUUCCAAUGAUCAUGGAGUUCUUGCCAGUUCUUCUGCCACGCCAUUUUUGCUGUCUUUUGGAGAAAGUGUGUUGGCAAAAAGAGACUGAAAAUAACAGUGAUGCAGAUGUUGAGAAAGAAUAUUUCCAAGAUGACAUUCUAACAAAAUUGAAUGAUAUAUUAAAGAAUGAGCCAUGGAAACUUGGAUUCAGCAAGAUUACCUAUAAGGAACUGAACCUUUCUUAUUGUGAAACAACAUGGGCAGCCUUCUGUCAGUGCAGACGUCUCCUCCGGAAGAUUCCUGAAUUGCAGAAGAAUGCAUUGAUUCUAUAUGAUCAACUCAAGAAACAAUGUAGAGAAAUGGGACAUACUUAUGAAGAUCAAGAUGAAUUAAUUCGUUUUGUAUCUAAAGAUAUGUCUAUUGAGCAUGCUUGGCAAUCUCUUGAAUUUUUGAAAGAUCAGCAUAUAAUGAUUAGGGAGAAAAAAAUGGUGUUUCUGCCUCAUCUUUACAAAUCGGAAAAAGACAUUGCGAUGUAUAUAGGUGACCUUUUGUCAAACCACUCAUGGCAACUAGAUGUUGAUGUGAGACAUAUACUUAAUGUUUCUGAGACAUCAAGAGAAAUAGUAGAUAUUAAAAUGGAUGUUACCCAGGCUCCUGAAAUGGAGUACACAAAAGAAAAUAGUCCAGAAAAUCAUGAUUGUGAAAAUAGCUUCCUUAAAAAGGAAAUGGAGUCUACAUCUGGUACCCAAAGUAAAGCAGAGGCAGACCUAGAUCAGGUGAUUGCUAUGCAAAAGAUUUGCUCUAAUCCUGUCACAAUCGUAAGUGGAAAAGGAGGCUGUGGUAAGAGUACAAUAGUUAGCUGCCUUUUUCAUCACUUAAAGCAGAUGGAAAAAGAAGUGGAAGCUGCUUCUAAGGAUUUUGAGGGUGACCUGGAAGCAUCUGGGGAAUGGAAUACUUCUAAUCAUCACUGGGAGUCAGAAGAUACUUGCACAAAAAAUCUUCUGAAUGUAUUAUUUACUGCACCUACAGGGAGGGCAGCAAGCCUUUUGAGUGAAAAAACUAGGCUUCCUGCAUAUACCCUGCAUCAGAUCAUCUAUAGUUUUAAAUCAUGGAAGCAGAGUGAACAAGGACUGCCAUGGAAGUUUUCUACUGUGACAAUUCUGGUUGUGGAUGAAGGAAGCCUGGUGUCUGUACAUAUUCUUAGUUUAGUUCUAAAGCUCUUAUGUGAGCAUGCUCAGCUUGCCAAACUUAUCAUACUUGGUGAUACUAGACAGCUCCCCAGCAUAGAUCCUGGCAACAUGCUAGCUGAUGUCUUCGAGGGCCUAAAAUCCAAAGGGCUAUCUGUGGAACUGCGAACUAAUCACAGAGCUGAAUCGCAAUUAAUUGUAGACAAUGCAACGAGAAUCUCUCAUCGGAGGCUUCCUGAAUUUGAUGAGGUGCUAAAAGUUUCUGCUUGGAAUGAAGAACUGACAAUGCCAAGCCCUGAGAAGAAAUUCAUUUUUAUUGCUUUGCCUUCUGGUGGGGGCUGUGACAAUUUGCAGGCUGCCAUAAAGACUUUACUUAAAAAAGGACCAGGAUUGCAGGAUGCCAGACAAUCACAGUUCAUUGCUUUUAGAAGGCAAGAUUGUGAUCUAAUAAAUGAACUUUGUUGCCGGCACUAUUCAAACCAUUUAACCAGAGACCAUAAAAGACGGCUUGUAUUUCAAACUGAUGACAAGAUUUGCUGCAUGCGAAAUAUCUAUCUCAAGGAUCUCUUGCCAGGCCCUGGUUUCAGCAAGGAUCCUGAUCGCCAUGAAUGCAAAAGUGGAAAACCCCCACUGGCUGCAGAAGCUACUGAGGAGGGCAAACGACUGUGCAAUGGAGAUAUAUUUUUCAUAACAGAUGAUGUAGAAAUUAAUAAACAACGUUUACUGACCAUCAGCAGCACAUAUGGCUCCACAUUCACUGUAGUAUAUAAGGCACUGAAGAAGCUAUGUCAUAUAAAACAUGCAUGGGCCAGAACUAUUCACACAUUUCAGGGUUCUGAGGAAAAAACUGUCGUCUAUGUAGUUGGGAAUCCAGGCCGUCAGCACUGGCAGCAUGUAUACACGGCUGUGACCAGAGGACGCUGCCGAGUCUAUGUUAUAGCUGAAGAGAUGCACCUCAAGAAAGCAGUCACUAACAAGAACAUUCCCAGAAAAACUCGCUUACAAAAAUAUUUGAGAGAGAGAAUCGCAGAAAUAAGCAACUGUCCAAAACAAGCUUCUCCCCUGAAGAAGAGCUGGCAAAAUGAAGAACUUGAGGCUCAGUCCGUUUCUGUAACUCAAGAUGCUCCUGACCCAACUGAACCUGUAACUGACUCAGUUAAACAAGAAGGGUCUGCAGUUCUUAAUGAAGAGCAGACCAGUAAUUCGCAGCAGAUAAGUCCGUAUAAAAGACAAAGUCUUAUGGCAAAUUUGGGGGAUGUUAUGAAAACAUCGUUGGAUCCCGUGUCUCUGUGUUAACAGCAUGUCCAGUCUGUUGAAGGAAGGCAUUAUUUUGAUCGCUCCAUUCCCCACUUGCUGAAGUCUGUUGUUCUGAGCUUCCUUGCUGAGAUGCCAGCGGAUUUCUGCUAAUAACCAGUUCCAGCUUAUUGCCAGAUUCAGCGAUGAGGGGCACAACUAGGCAGCAGUCAAAGUCUCUGGUGCCUCCUUCAUACUGGACAUGAUGCUUUAUCACUCAGGUGCUGCACUGGCUUUUGAUAAGGUAACAAAAAUUGUCUAUAGAGUUGACUACUGCAUUGUCCGUGGUUCCACCAGGGUAAGGUAGAUCAGUAUCUCUGUUUCUUUGGCCUGAUCAUGUGUGAACUGUUUGGCAGUACGAGCAAUAAUCCAUGUGCUGCCCCCUCCCGCAUGUGCCAGCCACUAAUGCAGUCAUCAGCGGGGAGCAGGUACUGACCCAGACCUCUGACUGCGCUGGAGCCAGCUACGUAUUACUCAAUUCCAUUUUGUUUUUUUCCUGAUCCCUCAAAGCAAGGUCAACACUGAAUUCAGAUCAGGCUGCCUAGGAUUUUGUCUGUAUUUCAGAAAAUACUCAGGCACAGCAGAAAUGGAGUGCCACAUUGGUUGGUGCUGCUUUCAGAAAGCUUCUGGCAUUAAUGACCUUAAUUAAUGUGGAAAGAUAAGCAAGUACGGGCAAAGCUGUCUAAAAACUGCUACAGGAUUUGGUGAGAUCAACAGUGGAUAAUGAUUUUUUUUUUUUUUCUGUUCCCUGCACUUUUCUUGGAUUGACUUGGCUUUACUAGUACACCAACAAUGCUUUAACCAGAAUGAAACCAGACUCACUAGCAAGUUUGUUGAUCGCUAUCCUGGGCAGCAGCAGAGACAGGAAGACACAGCGCCAGCUGCUGCAGCGCUGCCACCUUUCCGUCUCUGGCAGCAGGCAGCGUUUGCAUCCCUGAACUGUGCCGAGCCCAUUUCACGCAGUGGUUACGAAAAACUAGUGGAACAUCUCCUCCUGUUGGCCCAUCUUGCUGUAAUUAAACUAAUGUACAAACUGUGAUCCAGAGGGUGCACAGGCCCUGACUACCCUGACUCAGACUCAUCCCAUUGACCAAGUAAAUAUGCACGUGUGCGGUCCUACGUCAGAAACUGGGAAUGCUCAGCAAUUUGAAGUUAAGUAGACGCUUAAAUGUCUUGCUGAAAUAAGUCACAAGCAAGCUGUGUGUUAGCUUCCAUUUCAACAAGCGCUUAUACUGUUAUAGUCUUCCAAAACAGUUAUUAUUUAAUUAGAUGUCCUAAUGUCGGUGGUCCAGCUGACUAAGGCAUCAGCCUGCAGAGAGCUCAUUUGCCAGCAAGAUCUGUUAGGAAGAACACUUGAAUCCAGGCUUUUCUCUGAUGGUGAAGUGAAGCCGUACCUGUGCAACUGCAGCUGUUUUGGAAAACUGUGACUGGAUAAGCUGUCCAUAAGAAACAGUCUAACAGGAAAAAUUAAGGAGGGAGAGAAAGUAACAGAUACACUGCUACACAAGAACCAGUAAGAAAACCAACAACAGACAUACAAGCACACUGUGCUGAUCUGACUGUAAGAUCCAGUCACUGGUCUUCUGUUUUUCUUAAAAGACUGUAAGAAUUGGAAGAUAUGGUGCGGGUUCAACUUUUAGAUUUUUAGAGAAGAAAAUUAUUCUUGAUGAGAAAACAGAUAGGAUAAGGAAACUUAGCAUCACUUCAGCGGACAGCAGGAACGUGGAUAUGCUGGCUGAACAAACAGUGAAAACUUCUAAAACAGAAGGUCAUGGCAAUCAUAAAAUGGCAACCAAAGAGAGAGAAAGCUCAAGGACAGGGUAUUUUUUUACUACCCAGGACUCUAAGAACUAACAGCUAGGACAGAAUAAUAGAAUAGAUAGGAUAGGAUAGAUCAAUAAAAAUCUUACUCUUCCUUUCCAGCAAAGAAUUUGUUUUAACAACCAUUCUGAAAGUCAGAUUUUAUAUUCCACAGGAGAAAACAGUGCCUCUGCUGACUGUGAGCACACCAUGAAACGCCUACCAGCAGAGUUUCACUGCGUAUCUCACAUUUACUCGCCACUCAAGAAAACAGCACAGUAACCAGCUCCAUUAAUCACUUCACAUCCAGCUGGAAAUACAAAUGGCUUAAAACAAGAUCAUGACAUAUCCUCUUGAUAGUUUAAAUCGGCAAUUAAUUCAUCUUCCAUAUGGAAAAUCCACUCUCCACUGUCUUCGAACAACAUCCGUUUAGCACAUACUCAGUAAGGCCUUACGUUUCAAUGCAUGAACUAAACUGAAUCAAACCUACAGAGAUUAAACAGCAAACCAACUCCCUUGAGAGUGAUGAUAUUUGACCUCUUAAAGGAAAUUUCUCCAUGCUUCUGGCUCCUCUUCUUUUUAUCUUAGCUGUAUCGCAAUGGAAGAUCCCAAACCUUCAAGAGGAAAGGUGGGUGCAGGAAAUGGGAUGUUCCUCAAAGUUUUGGAAACUGGGUGCCAUUAUGGCCUCACUGAACUAAAGACUUAAACCGACGUGGCCUAUGCUGUGCAUAUCUAGAAAUACUUCGGGAACUUCCUUUUGGUGUACAGCCACCUUAAUAUCACCGGGUGACUCCAACAGAGUCUUAAGCAAUGAAAAGCUGUAGAGACUGAAAAUCAUUUAUCCUAUUUACAGCAAAGGUAUUAGAAGAGAAGCAAUAGCUAAUUUGAAAUAACAUUCUAUAUUAUGUACAUACAAGUAUCAUGCAUUUGAUUCAAAAUGAGUGUUAAUUUGAAAAAGGACCAACGGGAGCUACAAACCCUCCUGGGUAAUGUUCUAAAGAAAUAUAUUUUCUAGAAAUUAAACUUUGCUUUCUUAAUGAA
Molecule: RNA transcript, 5991 nt
Organism: Dromaius novaehollandiae (emu)
Lineage: Eukaryota; Metazoa; Chordata; Aves; Casuariiformes; Dromaiidae
Gene: HELB
Gene name: DNA helicase B
Exons: 15
Source: RefSeq, a predicted model, not a curated record